AAGCAAUCCACCUGCCUUGGCCUCCCAAAGUGCUGGGAUUACAGGCAUGAGCCACUGCGCCUGGCCUCAAACAUUCUCUUCUGAUACGCAACUGCAGACCUUAAGCCAUUUCAGCAGCUUAUAGAGUCUGCAAACAAGCUGUCUUUGUGUCCUGCACCUUUUGCUAUAAAGAACGAAAUUCCACCUCAUUUUAGUACUAGAACCCUAGCCCAAAGUGAAAGUGGGGUCUGCUUUACACUACGUGUGUGAAAGUGGGGCGUGCAUUACACUACGUGUGCCUGUGUGCAUACACUCCCCUCCCUUCAUAAAUAUGGAUAGCCUUUCCCGCAAACCUGCUGAAUAUGUAUGACUCUAUUGCGUCAUAUGGGCUCCAUGAGGCACAAAACCCAACCUGCCCUUUUCCUCUCCCAAGAGAGAGCACGUCCAGAACACGCCAGAGACUGUCUCUUCCUGGUUUGCAAACUCAUACCACUAGUAAAGCUCCUUUCUGCUAUUUAGCUAUCCUGGUGGUCUUUUGGGCAACAUGCUUAUCUGGGAAGAGCUGUCUUGUAAUCUCUGUGUCUGCAUCAGACUCUGCCAGCCCUAGAUUGGGAGCUCUGAGAUGACAUAGGCUGCGUCCCACCCCAGCAGCAGCAUGCAAGGUCAAAAGGCUGUGGCAGGAGGCCAGGCAGAUCACAGCGUCCAUGCCUAGAUGCUCCCUGACCCCCAGGAACCAGAAGUGCUGUCUCCUGAAGGCUCUGGAAACCCGGAAUCAGCCUACGAGGCACCAGGGCCACCUUGGAGGGUGGAAAUGAGGACCUCAGGCCCCAGAGGGCAUGCAGGCGAGGUGAAGUUCAGGAGAGGGGAAAGAACAUGGGCUGUGUGGCCUUGGACCAAUUGCUUGCCCUCUCUGGGCCUUCUUAUUGGUGACAGACAGACUGGUGACUUUCUGAGAGGAUCUAUGCAACCUCAGGCUCCUGCACCUGGGUUACAGGGUCUUCUGGAGGGGAAGAGAUGAGCAGCAAGGACAAUAGCAGUGCUCCCUUCCCGGGUCAGUUGCAAGGAUUAAGGAUGAUGUCUGCAAAGUGCUUAGUCAGAGCCGGCAUACGGUAAGUGCUCAAUAAAUGCUGGCUCCCAUUAUUAGUAUCCCUUCCCUCCACGCCCUCAACACAUCCCUUUAUCAUGAUGGAAUAACCAAUUGCCUGGUAACAACAUGUUCACACUUCCACGCUCCCCAUCAACCAUGCUCACCUAUAAGGCAGGCUGCGACCAGCUCCUCUUCAUCUAUUCAUUGCCUGGCCCAUGCUAGGGGCCCAAGAAAUGUCUGCUGCAUCAACGAGUGAUUUUGGGAAAGGUGCUGAGCCCUUCUGUCCCAUGAAGUUCUUGCGAGACAGUGUCUCACCAGCAACCUGGAUCGUGAGAACCACAGCGGGUGGGCCAGAUCUAGAUGGAGAGUGUCCAUUGGGCAGAGCUGCUUCUGUGAAAGGAAAGGAAGUUUUUCAAGAAACCAUGAGGGGGGCCCAAGAAUCCAAGUUUCUAACUCUGGGAUCGGUUUUCUGUCUUUUACCUCGGUUUGCCUCUCCCUAGCUGUGUGGUUUAUGGCAAGUCACUCUGUGCCUCUGUCUCCACGUGUUCAAGGAGGCAGCCGGUCCAAGGGGCCUUCAUAGAAGGGGCUGCCGAGAUGUGAGCCCUGCAUUGGGGGGAUGCCCCACAGAGGUGCUGUCCCCCAUCCCCUUUCCAGGUAUGAGUGUCCCCCAGCUCUGAGUGAAUCAGUAGGAGGUGCUGGACCUGGGCUGAUUCUCACAGUGGGACCUCAACUCUAGCCCCGGGUUGGCUGACAUUAGAGGACUUUGGGUCGUUGUUCUGGCAGCUGCAAGGAAGAGCCAAUGUCAGGGAGGGAAACCCCACAUUCCCUGGCACUAUCCAAACAAAGGUUUGGUUAAAACAAAGAAUUCUCAUGGAGAAGAGUCUGAAGGACCCAAAACACAUAUUUCUGUAGACAUCCCAUCCCAAAAUAAACCCAUGGAUCAAGCCAGACCCAAAUACAAGGAUGCUGUGAACCACAUGGUUGAAUAUUCCACACUUUCCCCAUCCAUUAAACCCCACCCAGGGUGGGAAGGGGAUGGAUUUCCCUCAGUUCUCAGGGCCUAGAAGAGCAGGGCUUUUUUCCCUCAACUGGUUGAGUUUUACUUUGUGAGCACCAUGAUUCCUAAAACCAGUUAUAUUUUCUUUUUCUCUUGGGCCGCCAGGGAACUCACAGCGAAAUCUACCAACCAAAGAGGAUGUCCAUACCUGUCUUUUUCUUUCUUCCUUCAUUUUUUGACUUAAUUUCCUCACUUGAAAAAAAAAAAUAAAACACCUUAUUCAGGGUAUACUUUAUGGGCAGUCUUAAUUUUUUUUAUUAGGAUGUGGGAUGUAAAUCCAUAAAAGAAGUAGAAGUGCUGAGCCUUCCUGUGGAGUGGGUGCUGGAGGGGAAAAGGUGGAGUUAGGGGAGGGAAGGGGAGGGCAGGAAGGUUGGUGAUGGGCAGAGAUUCACAGAGACUCCCAGGUCAGGGAGCAAUCCCCCAGUCAGGGCAGCAGGAAUGCCCAGAGGAAUUCUGAUCGGGACAGACGUCGGGCACUGAAUGAAGAGAGGUCCCUCAGGGGCCUGGUCUCAGGGGCCUUGAAUUCCACGCAAAGCGUGUCUUGAGCAUCAACUAUAUGCCAGGCACCUUUUACAUAUAUUAUUUCUUACUUCUAAAUUAUUCCAGAUUUUAAGCCGGGUGCAGUGGCUCACGCCUGUAAUCUCAGCAUUUUGGGAGGCCAAGGCAGAUGGAUAACCUGAGGUCAGGAGUUCGAGACCAGCCUGGCUAACACGGUGAAACCCCGUCUCUACUAAAAAUACAAAAAUUGCCUGGGUGUGGUGGUGCAUGCCUGUAAUCCUAGCUACAUGGAAGGCUGAGGCAGGAGGAUUGCUUGAACCUGAGUGGCAGAGGUUGCAAUGAGCUGAGAUUGUGCCACCGAGCUCCAGCCUGGACUACAAAGUGAGACUCCAUCUCAAAAUAAUAAAUAAAUAAAUAAAUAAAUCUAUCAAUCCAGAUUUUACCAAUUAGGAGACUGAGCCUCAGAGAAGUUAAAUCACUUGUCCAGAGCCCUGAAAUUGGAGAAGCAGCUGCGCUCAGACUGGAACCCUAGAUGGUAGGGCCCCUUAGUCCUCCUUUAUCUUGGGGGGAUCCAGGGAAGGCUUUUCAGCAGGGGAAUGAUGCAAUUGGAUACACAUGUCAGGGGGAACAUGACUGCUUGUGGCAAGGAACGCAGUAAGCCUGGG
RNAcentral lists this long non-coding RNA (3286 nucleotides) under Homo sapiens (human). RNAcentral's name for it is "HSALNT0002385". The record is from RNAcentral. Lineage: Eukaryota; Metazoa; Chordata; Mammalia; Primates; Hominidae.